AGGGCGCACGGUGGAUGCCUUGGCACUAGGAGCCGAUGAAGGACGGGACUAACACCGAUAUGCUUCGGGGAGCUGUAAGUAAGCUUUGAUCCGGAGAUUUCCGAAUGGGGAAACCCAGCAUCUUUUAUAGGAUGUUACUUUUCAGUGAAUACAUAGCUGAUUAGAGGUAGACGCAGAGAACUGAAACAUCUAAGUACCUGCAGGAAGAGAAAGAAAAAUCGAUUCCCUGAGUAGCGGCGAGCGAAACGGGAAAAGCCCAAACCAAGAGGCUUGCCUCUUGGGGUUGUAGGACUCCAAUAUGGUAGUCCAGUGAGAUAGUCGAAGGACCUGGAAAGGUCUGCUAGAAAGGGUAAAAGCCCCGUAGACAAAAUUUGACUGGCACCUAGGAGGAUCCUGAGUACGGCGGAACACGAGGAAUUCCGUCGGAAUCCGGGAGGACCAUCUCCCAAGGCUAAAUACUCCCUAGUGACCGAUAGUGAACCAGUACCGUGAGGGAAAGGUGAAAAGCACCCCGGAAGGGGAGUGAAAUAGAUCCUGAAACCGUGUGCCUACAACAAGUUAGAGCCCGUUAAUGGGUGAUAGCGUGCCUUUUGUAGAAUGAACCGGCGAGUUACGAUUACUUGCGAGGUUAAGUUGAAAAGACGGAGCCGCAGCGAAAGCGAGUCUGAAUAGGGCGAAUGAGUAAGUGGUCGUAGACCCGAAACCAUGUGAUCUACCCAUGUCCAGGUUGAAGGUGCGGUAAAACGCACUGGAGGACCGAACCCACGUACGUUGAAAAGUGCGGGGAUGAGGUGUGGGUAGCGGAGAAAUUCCAAACGAACUUGGAGAUAGCUGGUUCUCUCCGAAAUAGCUUUAGGGCUAGCCUCAGAGUAAGAAUGAUGGAGGUAGAGCACUGUUUGGACUAGGGGCCCAUCUCGGGUUACCGAAUUCAGAUAAACUCCGAAUGCCAUCCAUUCAUCUCUGGGAGUCAGACUGUGAGUGAUAAGAUCCAUAGUCGAAAGGGAAACAGCCCAGACCACCAGCUAAGGUCCCCAAAUAACUAUUAAGUGGAAAAGGAUGUGGGGUUGCACAGACAACUAGGAUGUUGGCUUAGAAGCAGCCACCAUUUAAAGAGUGCGUAAUAGCUCACUAGUCGAGUGACCCUGCGCCGAAAAUGUACCGGGGCUAAAUAGUUUACCGAAGCUGUGGAACACACCAAUGGUGUGUUGGUAGGAGAGCGUUCUAAGGGCGUUGAAGGUAGAUCGUGAGGACUGCUGGAGCGCUUAGAAGUGAGAAUGCCGGUAUGAGUAGCGAAAGACAGGUGAGAAUCCUGUCCACCGAAUGACUAAGGUUUCCUGGGGAAGGCUCGUCCGCCCAGGGUUAGUCGGGACCUAAGCCGAGGCCGAAAGGCGUAGGCGAUGGAUAACAGGUUGAUAUUCCUGUACCCGUUGUUUUUGUUUGAGCAAUGGAGGGACGCAGGAGGCUAAGGAAUCAGACGAUUGGAAAUGUCUGUCCAAGCAAUGAGUCUUGAUGUGAGUCAAAUGCUUACAUCUCUAAGGACAAGUUGUGAUGGGGAGGGAAAUAAUAGUACCGAAGUUCCUGAUGUCACACUGCCGAGAAAAGCUUCUAGUGAGAAAACAAUGGCCCGUACCGCAAACCGACACAGGUAGUCGAGGAGAGAAUCCUAAGGUGAGCGAGAGAACUCUCGUUAAGGAACUCGGCAAAAUGACCCCGUAACUUCGGGAGAAGGGGUGCUGAUCUAACGAUCAGCCGCAGUGAAUAGGCCCAAGCGACUGUUUAUCAAAAACACAGGUCUCUGCAAAAUCGAAAGAUGACGUAUAGGGGCUGACGCCUGCCCGGUGCUGGAAGGUUAAGAGGAGUGCUUAGCGUAAGCGAAGGUACGAAUUGAAGCCCCAGUAAACGGCGGCCGUAACUAUAACGGUCCUAAGGUAGCGAAAUUCCUUGU
This 1945-nucleotide ribosomal RNA is filed under the name human gut metagenome. RNAcentral's name for it is "bacterial LSU rRNA". It matches the Rfam family "Bacterial large subunit ribosomal RNA", at positions 14 to 1972 of the family's 2925-position model. The record is from RNAcentral.